CAAGUCUAAAGCAUCACUCUUUCAAAAUUAAUUUUGCUCUAUUCAUCUUGUAUCUGUCUGUUAUGAUUUUAAUUUUCUGAGACAGAACAAACUAUCAACACCUCUGCUAAUUGUUUAAUGAUGAAGUGGGUUUCUAUUUAACUAUUUGGACUUAUAAUUAGCACUGCUGCAUAUAUUUAUGACUUACAGUGUGGUGGCAGCGAGAAGAGAGCAGGAAGGGUACAAAUUUAGAGAAAGAAGUGCCAAAAGCACCAGAUCCA
This is a non-coding RNA of Nicotiana tabacum (common tobacco), 260 nucleotides long. NCBI's taxonomy places the organism in Eukaryota, Viridiplantae, Streptophyta, Magnoliopsida, Solanales, Solanaceae. The record is from RefSeq and is a predicted model, not a curated record.